GAGGGAAGGACCAGGGAGCGCACAUGGAGACUCUACACCCCUCCCACACACCUUGUCCUGCUUCUCUCUUCCGACUGUGCCUGGGUUGUAACCUGGUCAUUCAGCAGAUUCUUUAUCCCUAAGGCUUCCCUGGUGGCUCAGUUUGUAAAGAGACUGCCUGCAAUGCGGAUGACCUGGAUUUGAUCCCUGGGUUGGGAAGAUCUGCUGGAGAAAGAAAUGACAACCCACUUCAGAAUUCUUGCCUGGAGAAUUCUAUGGACAGAGGAGCCUGGUGGGCUAAAAUCCAUGGGGUCGAGAAGAGUCUGACAGGACUGAGUGACUAACUUUCAUUUUUCACUUUCACUUUCUUAACCACUGAGCCACUGGGGAUGCCCUAUAUCCAGAUAGGUAGUGUCAGAAGUGGGGGACUCAUAGGGGAAUCUAGAGGUAAAGAAAGUGAAAGUGAAAGUUGCUCAGUGGUGUCUGACUCUUUGCGACCCUGUAGUCCAUGGAAUUCUCCAGGCCAGGAUACUGGAGUGGGUAGCCUUUCCCUUCUCCAGGGGAUCGUCCCAACCCAGGGAUCGAACUGAGGUACCCUGCGUUGCAAGCGGAUUCUUUACCAACUGAGCUAUCAGGGAAGCCCCUAGAGGUAAAGAAACGGCCUGCCAAUGCAGGAGACAUAAGAGACUAGGGUUUGAUCCCUGGGUCAAGAAGAUCCCCUAGAGGAGGGCACAGCAACCUACUCAAGUACUCUUGCCUGGAGACUCCCAUGGACAGAGGAGCUUGGCAAGUUGUAAUCCAUAGGGUCACACAGAGUCAGACAUGACUGAAGUGAUUUAGCAUGCAGAGUAUUAGAAUCGCGCUAAAUUGUAGGACAUGAAGCUGUGUUGGAGAAUUGCUGGGAAUGAGAAGGGACGUCCCACACAUUUGGGGACCAGAAGUAUUGAGAGUAGAGUGUUGAAAGGAGGGACAUGAGGCUUUCUUUUAUGGUCAGUGUAGUAUUUCCUAAAAUAUUCUUCCUCAACAGAAGUUGGCAAAGGACCAGAUAGUAAUUAUAUUCAUUUUUGCAAGCCACAUCCAAUCUCUAUCACAACUAUGUAAUUG
This is a long non-coding RNA of Bos taurus (domestic cattle), 1083 nucleotides long. NCBI's taxonomy places the organism in Eukaryota, Metazoa, Chordata, Mammalia, Artiodactyla, Bovidae. The record is from Ensembl.